Molecule: ribosomal RNA, 331 nt
Filed under: Pseudomonas aeruginosa
Lineage: Bacteria; Pseudomonadati; Pseudomonadota; Gammaproteobacteria; Pseudomonadales; Pseudomonadaceae
Description: partial 23S ribosomal RNA
Rfam family: Bacterial large subunit ribosomal RNA
Source: RNAcentral
GAGCCUGCUUGUGUAGGAUAGGUGGGAGGCUUUGAAGCGUGGACGCCAGUUCGCGUGGAGCCAUCCUUGAAAUACCACCCUGGCAUGCUUGAGGUUCUAACUCUGGUCCGUGAUCCGGAUCGAGGACAGUGUAUGGUGGGCAGUUUGACUGGGGCGGUCUCCUCCUAAAGAGUAACGGAGGAGUACGAAGGUGCGCUCAGACCGGUCGGAAAUCGGUCGUAGAGUAUAAAGGCAAAAGCGCGCUUGACUGCGAGACAGACACGUCGAGCAGGUACGAAAGUAGGUCUUAGUGAUCCGGUGGUUCUGUAUGGAAGGGCCAUCGCUCAACGGA